GCAGUAGGGAAUCUUCCGCAAUGGGCGAAAGCCUGACGGAGCAAUGCCGCGUGAGUGAUGAAGGUUUUCGGAUCGUAAAGCUCUGUUGCCAGGGAAGAACGCUUGGGAGAGUAACUGCUCUCAAGGUGACGGUACCUGAGAAGAAAGCCCCGGCUAACUACGUGCCAGCAGCCGCGGUAAUACGUAGGGGGCAAGCGUUGUCCGGAAUUAUUGGGCGUAAAGCGCGCGCAGGCGGUCAUUUAAGUCUGGUGUUUAAUCCCGGGGCUCAACCCCGGAUCGCACUGGAAACUGGGUGACUUGAGUGCAGAAGAGGAGAGUGGAAUUCCACGUGUAGCGGUGAAAUGCGUAGAUAUGUGGAGGAACACCAGUGGCGAAGGCGACUCUCUGGGCUGUAACUGACGCUGAGGCGCGAAAGCGUGGGGAGCAAACAGGAUUAGUACCCCCUAGAAAUUCA
Molecule: ribosomal RNA, 454 nt
Filed under: Paenibacillus mobilis
Lineage: Bacteria; Bacillati; Bacillota; Bacilli; Caryophanales; Paenibacillaceae
Description: bacterial SSU rRNA
Rfam family: Bacterial small subunit ribosomal RNA
Source: RNAcentral